GGAUAUGAGGACAAUGUACUUGCUGUAUCUGUCACCCCACUGGGCCCCACGGAUGACUGGGUUGAUCUAGCUAGCUAGACAGAUGUCCCCUUCCCUCACUGAAGCUCCAUAUGUGUCGCUUCUGAAACGACACAGCUCAUGAAGAUGAUCUUCCCUAAUACGGAAGGCCAUUCUUCAGCCCAAGGAAAAUACAUAGCUGUGCUGUCCUGCUACGACCCCCAAAUAAGGUGCUCUCCUUAUCUAGGGAAUAAAGACAAAAGCAGUUCGGUUUUGUACAGAUAUAGCCAUUUCAGGCCUAAUUAAGUUUUCAGUUCAGAGAUUGGUU
Molecule: small nuclear RNA, 325 nt
Filed under: Jaculus jaculus (lesser Egyptian jerboa)
Lineage: Eukaryota; Metazoa; Chordata; Mammalia; Rodentia; Dipodidae
Description: 7SK RNA (ENSJJAG00000000920.1)
Rfam family: 7SK RNA
About the family: 7SK was discovered as an abundant small nuclear RNA in the mid-70s but a possible function has only recently been suggested. Two independent studies have found that 7SK RNA binds the CDK9/cyclin T complex (known as elongation factor P-TEFb). P-TEFb activates transcription by phosphorylating the C-terminal domain of RNA polymerase II.
Source: Rfam by way of RNAcentral